CCCCUAGAUGUUCUGGGCCGCACGCGCGCUACACUGAACAGUUCAACAAGUCUUAACCUUGGCCGAUAGGUCUGGGUAAUCUUUGAACGCUGCUCGUGAUUGGGAUAGACCUUUGCAAUUAUGGGUCUUCAACGAGGAAUUCCUAGUAAACGCAAGUCAUCAGCUUGCAUUGAUUACGUCCCUGCCCUUUGUACACACCGCCCGUCGCACCUACUGAUUGGAUGGCUCGGUGAAGAAUCGGGACCGUGAGAACAAUCGAUUCAUUUCGAAUGUACUUGUGGGAACCUUUCUUAACCUCGUUUUCUAGAAGAAGGUGAAGUCGUAACA
This 327-nucleotide ribosomal RNA is filed under the name uncultured eukaryote. Its description in RNAcentral is "partial 18S ribosomal RNA". It matches the Rfam family "Eukaryotic small subunit ribosomal RNA", at positions 1470 to 1796 of the family's 1831-position model. The record is from RNAcentral.